GACGAACGCUGGCGGCGUGCUUAACACAUGCAAGUCGAACGGUGAAGCGCCUUCCUUUUUGGUGGGUGUGUAUGAGUGGCGAACUGGUUAGUAACACGUGAGUAACCUGCUCCCUUCUUCUGGAUAACCGCAUGAAAGUGUUGCUAAUACGGGAUAUUCUGGGUCUGUCGCAUGAUUGGUCUGGGAAAGAUUUUGUUUCGGUUGUGGAUGGGCUCGCGGCCUAUCAGCUUGUUGGUGGGGUGAUGGCCUACCAAGGCGGUGACGGGUAGCCGGCCUGAGAGGAUGGACGAUCAUAGAAGGAAGAAGAGAUGGCGAAGCCUACGACGGGAGGCAGCAGUGGAUAAUAUUGCACGAUGGGAGGAAGGAUGAUGCAGCGACGCCGGGGGAAGGAUGGAGGCCUUAGGGUAGUGAACUGCUUUCGCGAGUGAAGAAGGGUUGACUUGUUUGUGCGUGGGUUGACGGUAGCUGGAUAAAAAGCGACGGCUAACUACGUG
RNAcentral lists this ribosomal RNA (494 nucleotides) under uncultured bacterium. Its description in RNAcentral is "partial 16S ribosomal RNA". It matches the Rfam family "Bacterial small subunit ribosomal RNA", at positions 28 to 507 of the family's 1533-position model. The record is from RNAcentral.